AAGGAUUUAAGUUAAAAAAACUAACAGCCUUCAAAGCUGUCAUUAGAGUUAGGCCUCUAAGCCUUA
This 66-nucleotide transfer RNA is filed under the name Brachypterolus vestitus. RNAcentral describes it as "tRNA-Trp". The record is from RNAcentral. Lineage: Eukaryota; Metazoa; Arthropoda; Insecta; Coleoptera; Kateretidae.